UACGUAGGGGGCAAGCGUUAUCCGGAUUUACUGGGUGUAAAGGGAGCGUAGACGGCAUGGCAAGCCAGACGUGAAAUACCGGGGCUCAACCCCGGGACUGCAUUUGGAACUGUUAAGCUGGAGUGUCGGAGAGGCAGGCGGAAUUCCUAGUGUAGCGGUGAAAUGCGUAGAUAUUAGGAGGAACACCAGUGGCGAAGGCGGCCUGCUGGACGAUAACUGACGUUGAGGCUCGAAAGCGUGGGGAGCAAACAGG
This 253-nucleotide ribosomal RNA is filed under the name uncultured bacterium. Its description in RNAcentral is "partial 16S ribosomal RNA". It matches the Rfam family "Bacterial small subunit ribosomal RNA", at positions 524 to 776 of the family's 1533-position model. The record is from RNAcentral.